CACCCAGUGGCAAAAGCUUUAUGUACUGCUGGAAUUGAGACAACAUUAAUUCAAGACUCUGCAGUGUUCCCCAUCAUGUCACGUGUCAACAAGGUCAUCAAAGGUCAUCGUUGGCACCGAGACGGUGGUGACCAACGGAGGCAUUGAGACCUUUGUUGGUGCAGCCUCUCUUGCCUCACCACCAAAGUUUUAUUCUGUUCCACUGUAUGUGUGCACUCCCACAUACAAAUUUAGCUUGAUGGGCUGUGAAGAAAUGUGAUGCCGGAUAAGAGGGAUUUUACUGUACCCUGUUUAUCUUGCACAUCUACUCACUUAGCUUUAAAUAAUGGCUGCUGACCAUUUAAAUCUCUUUUAUUUCAGUCGAGGUACUGCACCAUCCUACGUGUACCGGCAGCUUAGCGAACUGUACCGUCCCACUUCUUGUGUAACAAGAAGGUAACAGCUUUAAUCCUUGCAAAUAAGGAAUAAGAGAAAAGAGACACACCUGCCAUUUGUACUGUUAUGCUGUAGUGUUCUGUCAUUUUUUUCCUCUUUUAUCCUAGAACCAUUUUUGGUCAUUCAUGUUUCUAAAAAUUAUUAUACAAAAAUGUUGAGCUUAAUAUGUUUGGUGUAGUUUUUUGUAACAUGUGUUAUUGUUAAUGUGUGUGGUUCCCCUCAGGAAGAAUGUUGCAGUAUUAGCAGUAAUGUUACAGCCAAUGGAAGUGUCUGUAUUGUGCUUUGGUGGGAGGUUAAUUUGAUGUAUUUUUAGAGUUGUGCAGGAUAUUAUAGCAAGCCCUCAAAAUAAAGAAAAUAACUAUAGAAAACA
This is a long non-coding RNA of Scylla paramamosain (green mud crab), 805 nucleotides long. RefSeq lists it as uncharacterized. The record is from RefSeq and is a predicted model, not a curated record. The transcript is spliced from 2 exons. Lineage: Eukaryota; Metazoa; Arthropoda; Malacostraca; Decapoda; Portunidae.